UACGUAGGGGGCAAGCGUUAUCCGGAUUUACUGGGUGUAAAGGGAGCGUAGACGGCUAUGCAAGUCUGGUGUGAAAACCCGGGGCUCAACCCCGGGACUGCAUUGGAAACUGUGUAGCUUGAGUGUCGGAGAGGUAAGUGGAAUUCCUAGUGUAGCGGUGAAAUGCGUAGAUAUUAGGAGGAACACCAGUGGCGAAGGCGGCUUACUGGACGAUAACUGACGUUGAGGCUCGAAAGCGUGGGGAGCAAACAGG
This 253-nucleotide ribosomal RNA is filed under the name uncultured bacterium. RNAcentral describes it as "partial 16S ribosomal RNA". It matches the Rfam family "Bacterial small subunit ribosomal RNA", at positions 524 to 776 of the family's 1533-position model. The record is from RNAcentral.